GCUGGAAUUGCUAGUAAUGGCAGGUCAGCAUACUGCCGUGAAUACGUUCCCGGGCCUUGUACACACCGCCCGUCACACCAUGAGAGUUGGAAAUACCCGAAGUCAGUAGCCUAACCGCAAGGGGGGCGCUGCCGAAGGUGGGGUUGAUGAUUGGGGUGAAGUCGUAACAAGGUACC
RNAcentral lists this ribosomal RNA (176 nucleotides) under uncultured bacterium. RNAcentral's name for it is "partial 16S ribosomal RNA". It matches the Rfam family "Bacterial small subunit ribosomal RNA", at positions 1325 to 1500 of the family's 1533-position model. The record is from RNAcentral.